This 1018-nucleotide long non-coding RNA is filed under the name Panax ginseng (ginseng). Its description in RNAcentral is "long non-coding RNA (PGIN_LNC006750)". Lineage: Eukaryota; Viridiplantae; Streptophyta; Magnoliopsida; Apiales; Araliaceae. The record is from RNAcentral.
UCACAUAUAAAUAGAUAAUACUCGAGUCACGAUAACUACAAAAUUUGUUAUUGUAUCUUGGUCUCCCAAAGACCAUAGUACCUACAAAACUUAUUAACUAACAUAAGAAAACUGAAAGAAUAACAACGAACUAAAAGAAAAAAAGUGUACGUCAUCAUCAUUUUCUUCAAAGAAAUCAAGGUUGGGCUUGUAAACUUCAUGUUGCAAGAGCAAAGCCCACAACAGCAGCAACACAAAAAGUGAGGAUUCACAUCAAGGUGUUAAAGUCUACACAGUCACUUCAGGACUUCUAUAAUAUUCAUAGCUAAGAGCUUUUUAGCUUCAAGCAAUGGAAUUAAAAGCUGCACAACUUUGCGAUUUUAACCACUCGGUUAAUCUUAUCAAAGAUGUGAGCGCUUCGUCGUGUGCUUUGGUUCAUAACUCAGAGAACUUAAAUAGAAUAACAACCUCAAAUGUCUUGUCGCAAGCAUUUGCACUUUCCAAAGCAGCAACACAUAUUAGAGCAACCCAAAGCAGCAACACAUGGGCAUAAAGAACUAAAAUGGAGAUAUAAAUUUGAGUACAUGUGGGAUUAGUCAAAUGCUCCAUAGAGGUUCGUGCACCCAUGAUUGUUUUUUUUUAUUAAAAUUAAUUAUUUUUAAAAAAAAAUAAAAAAAUAAACCAGUAAUGAAGGCAUAAAAUUUGAAUACGGUAUAGUCAAAAUAUAAUUUUAGGAUUUAAUGACCCAAAAAAACUAUUGAACUCUUGUCAAGUUAUCAAAAAAAAACAUACAACUAUUUUCUUGCAACAAAAAUCAUGAAAUUUUAAAAACUAUAAAAAAUGACCAAAACUUGACCAUAUGAGCUUACUGUUGACUCAAAUUUCAAGCAUUUUUGACAGUUUCUGAAAGUCCAGUGGUGGAGUUCAUUACCUCUCCUUCACCUGCACUUUAGUUGCCAGCUACCUCAUCACCAAGAACACGUCCAUGCUCAAUUUUGGAAGAAGCUAAAGAACAACUCGUUUGUGAAGUAUAUAAAAC